GAUGAACGCUGGCGGCGUGCCUAAUACAUGCCAGUCGAGCGAACAGAUAAGGAGCUUGCUCCUUUGAAGUUAGCGGCGGACGGGUGAGUAACACGUGGGUAACCUACCUAUAAGACUGGGAUAACUUCGGGAAACCGGAGCUAAUACCGGAUAACAUUUAGAACCGCAUGGUUCUAAAGUGAAAGAUGGUUUUGCUAUCACUUAUAGAUGGACCCGCGCCGUAUUAGCUAGUUGGUAAGGUAACGGCUUACCAAGGCGACGAUACGUAGCCGACCUGAGAGGGUGAUCGGCCACACUGGAACUGAGACACGGUCCAGACUCCUACGGGAGGCAGCAGUAGGGAAUCUUCCGCAAUGGGCGAAAGCCUGACGGAGCAACGCCGCGUGAGUGAUGAAGGGUUUCGGCUCGUAAAACUCUGUUAUUAGGGAAGAACAAAUGUGUAAGUAACUGUGCACAUCUUGACGGUACCUAAUCAGAAAGCCUCGGCUAACUACGUG
This 497-nucleotide ribosomal RNA is filed under the name uncultured bacterium. Its description in RNAcentral is "partial 16S ribosomal RNA". It matches the Rfam family "Bacterial small subunit ribosomal RNA", at positions 28 to 507 of the family's 1533-position model. The record is from RNAcentral.